CCUACGGGAGACAGCAGUAGGGAAUCUUCCACAAUGGGCGAAAGCCUGAUGGAGCAACGCCGCGUGGGUGAAGAAGGUCUUCGGAUUGUAAAACUCUGUUGUUAGAGAAGAAAGUGCGUGAGAGUAACUGUUCACGUUUCGACGGUAUCUAACCAGAAAGCCACGGCCAACUACGUGCCAGCAGCCGCGGUAAUACGUAGGGGGCAAGCGUUAUCCGGAUUUAUUGGGCGUAAAGGGAACGCAGGGGGUCUUUUAAGUCUGAUGUGAAAGCCUUCGGCUUAACCGGAGGAGUGCAUUGGAAACUGGAAGACUUGAGUGCAGAAGAGGAGAGUGGAACUCCAUGUGUAGCGGUGAAAUGCGUAGAUAUAUGGAAGAACACCAGUGGCGAAAGCGGCUCUCUGGUCUGUAACUGACACUGAGGUUCGAAAGCGUGGGUAGCAAACAGGAUUAGAUACCCGGGUAGUC
This 465-nucleotide ribosomal RNA is filed under the name uncultured bacterium. RNAcentral's name for it is "partial 16S ribosomal RNA". It matches the Rfam family "Bacterial small subunit ribosomal RNA", at positions 338 to 795 of the family's 1533-position model. The record is from RNAcentral.